This 435-nucleotide ribosomal RNA is filed under the name uncultured bacterium. RNAcentral describes it as "partial 16S ribosomal RNA". It matches the Rfam family "Bacterial small subunit ribosomal RNA", at positions 29 to 507 of the family's 1533-position model. The record is from RNAcentral.
AACGAACGCUGGCGGCAUGCCUAACACAUGCAAGUCGAACGAUUGCCUUCGGGUGAUAGUGGCGCACGGGUGCGUAACGCGUGGGAAUCUGCCCUUAGGUUCGGAAUAACAGCUGGAAACGGCUGCUAAUACCGGAUGAUAUCGCGAGAUCAAAGAUUUAUCGCCUGAGGAUGAGCCCGCGUUGGAUUAGGUAGUUGGUGGGGUAAAGGCCUACCAAGCCGACGAUCCAUAGCUGGUCUGAGAGGAUGAUCAGCCACACUGGAACUGAGACACGGCCCAGACUCCUACGGGAGGCAGCAGUGGGGAAUAUUGGACAAUGGGCGCAAGCCUGAUCCAGCAAUGCCGCGUGAGUGAUGAAGGCCCUAGGGUUGUAAAGCUCUUUUACCCGGGAAGAUAAUGACUGUACCGGGAGAAUAAGCCCCGGCUAACUCCGUG